Molecule: ribosomal RNA, 495 nt
Filed under: uncultured bacterium
Lineage: Bacteria
Description: partial 16S ribosomal RNA
Rfam family: Bacterial small subunit ribosomal RNA
Source: RNAcentral
GAUGAACGCUGGCGGCGUGCUUAACACAUGCAAGUCGAACGAAGCAUUUCGGUCUUAAUCUUCGGAAGCGGACUGAUCUGACUGAGUGGCGGACGGGUGAGUAACGCGUGGGUAACCUGCCCUGUACAGGGGGAUAACAGUUAGAAAUGACUGCUAACACCGCAUAAGCGCACAGAAAGGCAUCUUUCGGUGUGAAAAUAUUUAUAGGUACAGGAUGGGCCCGCGUCUGAUUAGCCAGUUGGCAGGGUAACGGCCUACCAAAGCAACGAUCAGUAGCCGGCUGGAGAGAGUGAACGGCCACAUUGGGACUGAUACACGGCCCAAGCUCCUACGGGAGACAGCAGUGGGGAAUAUUGCACAAUGGGGGAAACCCUGAUGCAGCGACGCCGCGUGAGUGAAGAAGUAUUUCGGUAUGUAAAGCUCUAUCAGCAGGGAAGAAAAUGACGGUACCUGACUAAGAAGCCCCGGCUAACUACGUGCCAGCAGCCGCCGUAA